AAUUAGUUAUCGAUGCCACUUUGAUUAUCAAAAAAUUCCUCUUCUCCAAUUUGAAAAUAAUAAAAAUACUAAAGAAAAUAAAAACUUGAAUCAAAUGUAAACAAAAAAGAAUCGAUUGCAAAAACAGCCGAAGGAUAAUUUAAAAUACGAUUUUCCAUUUGACAAACCACUGCUCAUAAUUUCUUCAGCUUCUGUCCCCGCAGCCCAUUCCAGAAAGCAGCUGCUUUGACCACAUUUUUUCCUGGAAGCUGAACUUCCAAAACCUGAGUUACAACAU
Molecule: long non-coding RNA, 277 nt
Filed under: Cicer arietinum (chickpea)
Lineage: Eukaryota; Viridiplantae; Streptophyta; Magnoliopsida; Fabales; Fabaceae
Description: long non-coding RNA (CARI_LNC003791)
Source: RNAcentral